This is a non-coding RNA of Equus caballus (horse), 7970 nucleotides long. The record is from RefSeq and is a predicted model, not a curated record. Lineage: Eukaryota; Metazoa; Chordata; Mammalia; Perissodactyla; Equidae.
UCCGUGGAGCAUGGGGUCUGCUUCCUCCCCUGAAAUCUGGGGAGCCUGAGUGUUUUGGAAGUGAUGUCCCAUGAUGAUAGAGUUCCCUCCUGGCAUUCUCUCUUGGGACGUGGCCCCUGGGAUCCCUGAGGGACAUAUAGAAGUCCCUCUACCCUGAAGCCGCCAGCCUGGAGGGGCCACAUAUAGCUAGAGAUGCCUCCAGUCUCACAUGGUUGAGUCAUCUCAGGAGCCAGACACGGGAGUAGGUCAACCUUCUGAUGACUCUCCACCCCGGCCACUGAGCUGCCGGCCCUACCCAAAUUGCAGAUUCAUUAACAAAAUAAUAUUGUUGGAGGCCACUCCAUUCUGGGGGUGGUGUCGUUUCACAGCAUCAGAUAAUGAAACACAAGACCUGAAACUAGGACUGACCACCCAUCCCGGUCUGCUUGGGACUAAAAGGUUUCUGGGACUCAAGACUUUCGGUGCUAAAACUGGGAGAGUCCCAGGCACGCUGGGCCGGUUGGUCACACCGUAAAGCAGCGGUUCUCAAACUUUAGUGUGCAUCAGAAACACCUGGGGACUUCCUGAAACACAGGUGGCCGGGUCUGACCCCCGGAGUUCCCAUUAGUGGGUCUCCUGUGGGGUCCAAUAAUUGCAUUUCUAACAAGUUCCCAGAUGCCAUUGCUGCUGCUGGUUGGAUCCCAAACUUCCAGAACGACUGGCCAGAAGGAAGGGCUGAACUGAGGACCUGCAGAUCCCUAUUGUUGUGUCCCAGUACUUCCUUCUGUCUGAUCCAGCAGUGUGGCAGGAAAUGGAGGGGCUCAAGGUCCUCUGGCUGACAACCAGGAGACACCCACGUCUUCCUGGCAGGGCGGUUGGGCGCUCUGGAAACAAGCCUAAGCCCAGAAGUGCCCAGCCUACUCGCCGCCAGGGGAGGAGCAAAGUGAACUCACUCGCUCAGAGCGCAGAUCAGCCCUUGGCCCUGGAGGGGCGCCCGCGUGCCACCGCCCCCUCAGGAAGCAACCCAGAGCGACCUCAGGAGCCAGCCCUCUGGGAAAGGGACUCGCCUGCCUCCCAGGGCCCCCACUUGAGGUUGAGAGCUGGAAGGGACCUGUGCAACACUGGGCAACCUCCUCUUUUAACUGGGGAGGAGGGGAAUGUGAGUUGACGUGACUUGCCAAGACCGUCCACCAAGAAUGAGGCGCAGUCAGAAGGUUCCCACCUCAGACUGGUCCCCCAGCUCAGCCUGGAAUGCCACAGCGCUCUCCCCACAGCUCCUAACUCCAUUUCGUCCCACACCUGUGAGCCCUCAUUUCCCCACGGGCCCUCCACAUCUUGGGUGUCUCAGUCCACAGCAGCUCUGGCCACUGUGAACUGCAGGCCUGAGCACAGGAGAAGCAGAGGUGGCGUGUGCUUACUGGAGGACACCCAGCACGGUCGUAGCCAAACCUCAGCUUACAAUCGCAGAUUCCCGGGCCCACCCCCUGGGUCUGAGACCAGCCCAGGCACCGACACUUUCAGCAAGAGCCCUAGGUGAUUUUGCUGCCUGUGGCAUUGGCCACACCCUGAGAAAGACCUGCCUGGCAUCAUCUUCCACAGAAGCCACCCAGGAAGAAGUGACGGACUGACAGAAGCCCAACUCAGACUUGGGAGGAAGGGGGAAUUUAUUGUUCCCCAAACCCAGCUAGUGGACAAAGCAGAGCAAGGAUAUCAUUGGGCCUCAUGGACAAAGGGGAGUCGAGGCCUGGAAUGAGUUCUCUUGUCUCUGCUGGCUAAUUUCUCCACCCACUUGGAAAAUAAUCACCCACAGGCAACAUCUUCCAUCAGAGAACUGACUCACUCUCUCCCAAAUUAAGAAAGUCUGGGGGAGGGCUGCCUGGGUCGGGUGCUUCUCCCUGGAUGAGUGAACUGCGAUCAGGUGAGUGGGGCCUACAUGGGCCCCAGUAACCCAGUCUCGGGGUCUAAGGGAGAGAAAUGCGGUGAAGGAGGGAGGAAGACCACACAGAUUCUUAACUCCAGUCUGUGGAGGCUGCUGCCAACCACUGAGUCUCUGGGCAGGAGACCUGGUGGGUAGCCAGCCUCCAAGAUGGCCCCAUGAUUCUUAUCUGGUAUGCGUGUCCCUAUGUACCCCUUCCACGGUGAACAAGGUUGACCUGUGUAAGCAAGAAGAUAGUGCAGAAGUGAUGGAUAGUCUUCCAGGUGAGGCCCUGAGAAACACUGCCGCUUCUGCCUUGCUCACUCUUGGGUCUCUGGCUGGGGGAAGCCAGCUGCCAUGUUGUAAGGACACUUAAUCAGCCUAUGGAGCAGGGCUGGGACGAGGCUGAGGUGAGGCACUUGCCUCCUGUGCAGAAUUUCAGGGAAUGCCCCAAAAGUCAGUAAUCUCAAUCUUUUAAUGUAAUAUUUUAAAAAAUUAAAUUCAUGCAAAAAAAAAAUCCACGAUAAAAAAAUAUCAAAAUUUUAAAUAAAGACAGGCUUAGUCACAGUACCAUGCUGCACCAUAUUGGAGCCUGAAGCAGAGGGAGAAUUCCGUGCUGUUGGUCCUGAUCCGGGCGCAGGAGCCUGCCAGGAGUGUGGGAGGUCUCUGUCCCUUCCCCGGCUGAAGAUCUCACUCCCCUGCCAGGUGACUGGUUAGGAAAAAGCAUGCGCAUGUGGAGUCAUCUGGAUCAUCUGUCUCCAGGAGGAAGGCAAUCGAGCAGGGCCUUACCCUCCGUGUCAGGACAAGGGCGGCGAGCCGGCGUGUCCGCUCAGGCCAGCUCUGGGUCUACAGGCUGACGCCGAUAAUGAGUAAUUGGAGCCCCAUUUGCAGAAUGCUUAUCAUGUGCCGGGCCCUCUGCCAAGUACUUUUUGGAAUCACUCCUCAGAACAACUCGGGAGAUGGGUUCUGUUUACACAGUUUUACAGAUAAGGGAACAGAAGUACAGAGCACCAGUGAAGUGUUCAGAGGGUGAGCGGUGGAGUCGGGCGCUGACUCAGGCAGUCUGACUCUAGAAACGACUCAUCACCUUUGGCAUCGGGAGUCAGCCAGCCUGGAAGGGGACUCUUGGUCCUGCAAGUGUUUGCUGUCUGCACUGGGGAAACUGCCUGACCUCUGUAAGGCUGUCUUCACCUCUGCAUGGUGGGGACAAUAAAUGGGAGCCGUUUAAAGCACUUAGCACCGUAUUUGUUACAAAGUAAAUAAACGGCCAGCAUUAGCCGCGGUUAUUCUUCUUUUGGGUGGAAAUGAACUCGAGAUGGUAGCUCCCACUCAGGGACAGACUCCCUCUAGUCUGCUUCCUUUCUCACUGACCUGGAUAACCACCCGCCCUCACUCAGCAGGGUCCCCUUGGCCUCUCAUGGGCUUGUACCUACUCCCCACACACCCCUCUCACAGUGAAGCUCAGAAAAUUGGAGAGAUGCUGGGGAGAGUCUGGGGCGGGUGGGAGAGAGGAACAGGGAAGUGAGCCAGGCCAGGAGAGGCUGUGGGCCUGGUGCAGGACAUUCCCCCUGGGCUAGGAUCCCCUGAGAGCCUCAAGCAAGCUCACCUGUGGCUCCGGCCUUGACCCACGAGACCACCUUCCAGAGCAGGUACAGGUGAGCGCAGGCCACCCCCAGGCCACCACCCGGCUGAUCCCAGAGGCUUCCGAGGUGGGGCUGAAGACCACGGAACAGGGGCAGGCUGGGACCUGCAUGGGAUGCUGGCUGGAGGGGAUGGAGGAACCACCUCUGCCCUUUCUUCCCAUUCCCUCCCUAGUCUCUUUCCACAGCAGCUCGUGGCACAGGUGAGGCCCACCGACUGUGUGUGCACUGGUGUGCAGGCGGCGAGCAUGGCUCCGGCCAGGUGCUACUGCCCGUUCAGCCGGGCCAUCCGACACACCACGGCUUCCCAAGAGUCUGUCAAGUCUUCUGAGAAGACAUGCUCUCUUCUCUUCUCGGCCCUUUGCCCCCUCCCUUCUGGGGAAGGGGACAGCGCUCGCCGCAUCAUGGCUCUCCCGGUGCUGUGACACAAACUGUCUGAGGCACACAGAUGAAGACGGCCCUGCCCUCCAGGCCUCCCCGGGUUCUGGGUCCCGUCUGCAGAGAGGGACAGGCAUGAGCCCAUUUGGUUCCAAUGUCUGGGCCAUGGUGGGAGGCCAUGGGGGGCAGGGGCAGGGGCAGGGAGGGAGGACGGAGUCCUGAAGGUCGUGAAGACUCAGCCAGGGGCAGGAGGGGCUUUCCCCGGAGGAGAAGCCCUGAAGGGUAACUCUGAGGAGUUCUGGGGGUGUGUUCUGAGAGUGGGGGACAGUGAGAGAGGGUGGGGAGGGAGGCGGGCCGGGUGUCGGGGAGCUUCGUCACUAGCCCUGCUUUCGCAGUUUGCCUUUUAUCUAGAAUUUUUUAUUUUAUCUAUUUUAUUUUAUCUAUCUGGGGAGCCACAGGAGGGACACGAUUAGAUCUGCCUUUUGGAAACCUCCCUGGCUGCGCUGCAGAGAACGGACGGAUGAGUGGGGAGGCCUGGCAGCGGAGAACCAGGAUGGAGAGCCCAGCGAGCCGGGGCUGGCCCGACGGAGGGGGAGCAGCCAGUGCGGGUGAUGGUUGGGAGGGGAGAGUCGCUAGGACUUGGGGGCUGACGAGAGGGAGUCCAUGGAGGACUAUGCGCCCGGGAGGACCAUGCGCCCACCUGGGGAUUCAGGAGGAGGCAGGUUUGGGAAGCUUCAGAGUGGAGAUGCCAGGGGGACUCCGCAGCAGAGUCCAGUGGGUGCCAGGACAGCGUUGUGUGGCAUCUCCCUUCACCAUUGUGUGCAUGAGUAGCAGGCCCGCUAUGUUAAUACACACGUCACUCAACCCUCCUUCCCCCGCUCCUCCCAUGGGUGUCCCCUCCCAUGUGCCUAAGACCCCCGGAACCCCCUCUGUUUAAAGGGUGACGCUGGUUGGUGUGGGGUCCAUGGUCUCCCGUGGAGAACCCCAAAAGACUUGCUAACACUGCUCAGGGCCCCUCCCCGUCAGGUGGGGUGACCCUCAGUAUGAACUGUGGCCCAGCUCAGGGCAGGUCCUGUCACCUGUCAGCACCCUCUCCAAAAUUUAUCUUGAAUUCAACCCGUCUUCACUGCACCACCCAGUUCAAGCCGCCACAACCUCCACUCUCGAUGCACCACCCAGAGAAAUCUUUUCAGAAGAUAAACCAGAGCAUGUCUCUCCUCGUUUUCACAUUCUUCCGGCCAGCUCCCCACUGCACCUGGAACAGAAUCUAAACUCUUGUCUGGCCCACAAAGCCCUAGGGGAUUUGCCCCUGCCUUCUUCUCUGAUCUCAUGCCUACUACUCCCCUGCCCUUGCUUCUCGCUGCACUGGCCAUCUUUCUUCAAACACAUAAAAUCUGCUCCUGCGGCAGGGCCUUUGCACUUGCUGUUCCCUCCCUAGAAGGCUCUGCAGGCUAAGUGAUCAUUCAGGCCGCAGACACAAUAUCCCCUCAGAGCAGCUUUCUUGAAUUCUCAAGCUAAGUUGGUGGCCCCGGUGCAGUGUCACACCUUCUGUUUUCUUCAUUGCUCCUUCAUUAUCUGACAAUAUUGCUUUUCCUUGUUUACUUGGAGUGUCUCUGCCCAGCAAGAUGCCAGGUGUCUGAUGACAGCAGGGCCCUGCUGGCCUCGAUGCCCCAGUAUCACCAGUGUCUAGUACUAGGAGAGCAGGUGCACAGGAAUAACAAUGAAUUGUUACUGAAUGCUAUAGAGCCCCUGGUCCAAACUGCUUCCUAGCCCUGGCAUCUGGGCAGCCUGGUGACAUCCCUGCCCCUAAAGACAGCACCUAGUGACAAUGUCAGGCUGAGGGGUAGUGAGAGGAUCCUGUGUCAUCCUUAGUGAUGGACUGACUCCCCACACUGUGCUCUCUGUGCCCACGCAGCCAGUCUCCUCCUGCACAGUCCGGGCCAGGUCAGUCUGUGCCCUCCCAGCUAGUCCGCACUAGGGCUAGCCUCUCUCCAGCCCCUCUCCCCCCUGCCAGUGCCAAAGUCCCCUCCACUCCCUGCUCUGGGGAAAUGACACUCCUUUUAGAGAGCCACCCACCCGACUCUGGUUGGAGCUGAGCUGGCGGUGAAGACAGGAGCUGAGGGGAGCUGGAGGAGGGGAGAGGUCACGCGGAGCACAGAGCAGCGAGCACUAACUUCGGUUAGAGAGUCCUCUGAGAAUAGGGUGAAAGCUGAAAAGGCCCCGUGUCACUGCAGCCUAUCCAUGGCGUGCACAGACCAAGUUGGGAGCCUCCCUCCAGCCCAUGCUCUCAACUGCUAACGCCGUUUACUGCUUCCUGGUUGCCAAAGGCGUUUUAUACACGUGACCUCAUUAAACCUGACAGGGAGCCCCGAGUCCUAGGUUACAAGAGGAAGCCGGAUGCCAGGGUGGGUGCCUCCCCUGGCGCAGGGUGAGAGAGGAACUGGGAACCCUGGCCUUUAGGAGACAGAUGGAGAGGGGAGGGGCGCCCAGAGGUGCAGCAGGAGACCAGGAGAGGAUGCUGGAGGCCAGCGGAGCAGAGAAUCUCAAGAAGGAACUAGUAAACAGGGUCCAAUAGCACAAGGCAGCCCAGGACGCAAAGGUGUUGAUGGCUUUAACCACAGAGACUGCUGGUGACCUUCGGUGGGACAGAAGCCAGAGUAGUGUUGGGACAGUAGAGACAAGCCUAGGACCUUUUCCUAAGCAGCUGGCAUGUGUAAUGGAAAGAUGGGGCAAAAGCUAAUGGAGGCCGGGCUCAGGGGACAUGAGCUUUCUCCUUUUUGAGAUGAAACUUGAGCACGCUCACAUCUGAAGGGUGCAGGUGGCCAGGCUAGGAAGAGGCCCUAAAUGGCGCGGGGGGACUCUGAGACAAGGGAUGGGAGGGCAUUGGGGGAAGCAAGGCCAGCGGAGGGGAGCAGGACGCAGGGCGGAGAUAAGGGCCUCUCGCUUGUUCGAAUUGGGCCCGAUGGCAGUUGGAGGGGAGCGAGGGCGGGCAAGGCUGCAGAAGGACCCAGAAGCCUGGGGCCACAGGACCUGGAGCAGCCCAUCGGGAGGGAGCAGGGAGACCUCUGCAGCAGCACCUGACAGCCCAAGCGUGCAGACUCAGUGACUGUGUUCCUCCUCAUCCCGCAGACCCUCCUUUUCUGGAGGCAGCAGUCCCGUCCCCACUUUGUUAGUAGCGUGGCUCCCCGAGGGCCAGUUUCAACGAGACACAUGGAUCACAGAAGAAAACUGCUCCAUAAAAGCCAACGAGAACUGGGCAACAAAUGAAAAGGGUCAUAGCCUCCACCUACAGGUAAAAUAGCACAGUCCCACGGAGGUGCACGGACCAAGGCCCCACAGGACUGGAGACCAGAGAAUUCAGGGAAAGGUUUCCAUCUAAGAUGACGGGUAGCCCCCAAUCCAGCUUUGCUUCUGCUGCAAAUGGCUCGGGGCUUUCAGGGCGGUGCGGCGUUUCCUUGUUUUCUCAAACUUACGGUUAAAAGGGAGUGGAACUAGAUAGCUGCAGGCAGGCAGCGACCCUAGGCACAGCCUCGGGCUCAGCCUGGCGAAGUGACUGCCCCCAGCCCUGUUGCCCUCGCCCUGACAGUGGACGGUCCCAGCAGGCGCUACUGGGAGUGGGGCUGCUCCCCUCCUGCGGGGGAGCUGCUUUAGCCACUCAUUCUUCCUUUCUGUUUAAUUCUGUCUGCAGAAUUUGGGGCUGUUUCUGACCAGGAUGGAGACCAGUGUAGUGGGGGUACCAGAAGGAAUGAUGUCUGUUCUGAGCACAAAAGAACUGCCCAGGAGGGAAGAAACUGUCACAAAACUUGUCAGAGAUCAGCUCAUCUGGUCCAAUCCUCCCAUUUCACAGAUACAGCCUUGCAAGUCACCAGGUCGUCGUCUGGCCGAACUGAGCAAUCACACACAAGCGUUCGUUACAGCUACAACAGGGUGCCGACGGAAGUGCUGAACUGAGAAGGAGCUGGGGACAGACGGAGAGCCGGCUUUGGCUGUAGACUGCUCUACUCUGGGUCCCACGGAACGACUGGCUCCCAUUUCUCAUUUUGAACUGCUUGCUCCUC